This 497-nucleotide ribosomal RNA is filed under the name uncultured bacterium. RNAcentral describes it as "partial 16S ribosomal RNA". It matches the Rfam family "Bacterial small subunit ribosomal RNA", at positions 28 to 507 of the family's 1533-position model. The record is from RNAcentral.
GAUGAACGCUGGCGGCGUGCCUAAUACAUGCAAGUCGAGCGAACAGACGAGGAGCUUGCUCCUCUGACGUUAGCGGCGGACGGGUGAGUAACACGUGGAUAACCUACCUGUAAGACUGGGAUAACUUCGGGAAACCGGAGCUAAUACCGGAUAACAUGUUGAACCGCAUGGUUCAACAGUGAAAGACGGUCUUGCUGUCACUUAUAGAUGGAUCCGCGCCGCAUUAGCUAGUUGGUAAGGUAACGGCUUACCAAGGCAACGACGCGUAGCCGACCUGAGAGGGUGAUCGGCCACACUGGAACUGAGACACGGUCCAGACUCCUACGGGAGGCAGCAGUAGGGAAUCUUCCGCAAUGGGCGAAAGCCUGACGGAGCAACGCCGCGUGAGUGAAGAAGGUCUUCGGAUCGUAAAACUCUGUUAUUAGGGAAGAACAAAUGUGUAAGUAACUAUGCACGUCUUGACGGUACCUAAUCAGAAAGCCACGGCUAACUACGUG